Ailuropoda melanoleuca (giant panda) is the source of this 1673-nucleotide RNA transcript. RefSeq lists it as uncharacterized. NCBI's taxonomy places the organism in Eukaryota, Metazoa, Chordata, Mammalia, Carnivora, Ursidae. The record is from RefSeq and is a predicted model, not a curated record. The transcript is spliced from 2 exons.
CCUGGGACGAGGAAGAACAGUGGUUAGGCUGGCUACCGAGGAGACAGACUCAGGACAGUCAGGGGCGUGGGUGGGGAUGUCUCUAUCUGUAGAGUUCUAGGAGCACAAGGACACUGGAGUUCUUGCUGAUGGUGAUGGAACAGGGUGCCCUUGUCAGUAGGGUGACCAGGGACACCGGGACAGAAGGAUAUGUCGAUGCUGGCUGGGAUUAGGGGAUAAUAGGAGACUAAUAUCUUCGCGUCGUACUGGGCACAGAGGACAUGAGGAAAGGACCUGGGGGCCCCUCUAGGUUUUGCAGUGAAAGGAGUACAAUAGAAGGCAUGGGCAUAAAUGACUCUGGGUCCUGAGUUUUUCUUCUUUUUCCACUUGUUAGUGGGGGGCCCUUGCUGGGGCUUGGCCUCAAUGUCUUUCUUUCCAAAUGGAGGAGAAUAACAGCUGUUCUUCAUAAUUUGUAGGGGAGACAUGGCUCAACCGAGGUGCCUCUUGUCACCUGAGGAGUCCUACCAAUGUUCUAGGCCACUGUUAUUAGCAAUAGGAACCCCUCACUGGAAAAAGGGGAGGAGUUUGGUGGGCCCCACUUUAGGACCUAAAAGCAAGACCUUGGUGGGGGAGGUUUGCUUUCUGAGCCUGGGGACCUGCCUUGAGACCGUCACAGCCGCACUCCCCCCGAGAUGCCUGCUCACCUCAUCGGGACCACAGGCGCAGCGUCACGAACAGGUUAAACCCGGCCACUUUCAGGAGGAGGACGCGCAGCCCCAUCACUAGCAGGUUGUGGGCGUUUAGGUUCAUAUCUGCAAAGCCGAGAGGUUAUUGGCAUGUACCCUGGAGGUCCGCACAGCCCUGUGACCCACCCGUGGUUUCCCCAAAAGGUGACUGCGGGGGGUUAGUUCCUGGCCCACCUCUCCCUUUCAGCUUGGGUGCACAUCCCUUCGUAAGCAUAUUUUUAUAUUCCUCCAGGGCCACCAGUAUUCCGUGUCAAAGGGAAACACCAACUGCACUCGGUCCUUAUUCUAUGUCUGCAUCCCUCAGGAGCGGGGAUGGGUUGGGGCUCAGAACUCAUUGUAAUCCCUUGGGUCAGGGCCCCUGAGUGAGAAGGUGGUGCCUGGACCCCAAGAGGGACCAUUCAAUGAAAACGGCUCCGAUGGAAAUGGACGGGCCCAGGGCAGGCGGCCGGGAGUGGUGGGGAUCCUGAGAGCCAAGACCCCUGCCUACGUGAAUUCUGCUGCUUUUCUUGAAAGAAGGCAGAAGCCCAGCUACCGCUACAGAGGGAACAGGCCCUCGGGAGGAGCUGGGGAGCUCGGGGCUCCGCAUAAGCCAGUCGGAAAUAUCACAGCUGGGCCACUGAGAAACUCUCUUUGGUUCUCCAGAGCCCUAGGAGUGAGUCAUGGGGUCUAGGGAAACCAGAGACACAGCCUGAAAGUCCUUGGAGGGGGAAAGAACAUUAGAGAUGGACGUGCUGCAACCCGCCAGGAUGGAGCUCGCUGGUGCUCGGUAACAAGAGCGGAGGGGCUUUGCUGACAAUGGAUGAGGCCGAGACCACCCAUCAGAACAGAUUUUAGGAGGGGGUGCCUGGGUGGCACAGUGGUUAAGCAUCUGCCGUCGGCUCAGGGCGUGAUCCCGGCGUUAUGGGAUCGAGCCCUACAUCAGGCUCCUCCGCUAUGAACCUGCUUCUU